RNAcentral lists this ribosomal RNA (585 nucleotides) under Serratia sp. 1C3. RNAcentral describes it as "bacterial SSU rRNA". It matches the Rfam family "Bacterial small subunit ribosomal RNA", at positions 868 to 1453 of the family's 1533-position model. Lineage: Bacteria; Pseudomonadati; Pseudomonadota; Gammaproteobacteria; Enterobacterales; Yersiniaceae. RNAcentral also lists the same sequence under 1 other name. The record is from RNAcentral.
ACCGCCUGGGGAGUACGGCCGCAAGGUUAAAACUCAAAUGAAUUGACGGGGGCCCGCACAAGCGGUGGAGCAUGUGGUUUAAUUCGAUGCAACGCGAAGAACCUUACCUACUCUUGACAUCCAGAGAACUUUCCAGAGAUGGAUUGGUGCCUUCGGGAACUCUGAGACAGGUGCUGCAUGGCUGUCGUCAGCUCGUGUUGUGAAAUGUUGGGUUAAGUCCCGCAACGAGCGCAACCCUUAUCCUUUGUUGCCAGCGGUUCGGCCGGGAACUCAAAGGAGACUGCCAGUGAUAAACUGGAGGAAGGUGGGGAUGACGUCAAGUCAUCAUGGCCCUUACGAGUAGGGCUACACACGUGCUACAAUGGCGUAUACAAAGAGAAGCGACCUCGCGAGAGCAAGCGGACCUCAUAAAGUACGUCGUAGUCCGGAUUGGAGUCUGCAACUCGACUCCAUGAAGUCGGAAUCGCUAGUAAUCGUAGAUCAGAAUGCUACGGUGAAUACGUUCCCGGGCCUUGUACACACCGCCCGUCACACCAUGGGAGUGGGUUGCAAAAGAAGUAGGUAGCUUAACCUUCGGGAGGGCGC